Long non-coding RNA from Lutra lutra (Eurasian river otter), 528 nucleotides. RefSeq lists it as uncharacterized. The record is from RefSeq and is a predicted model, not a curated record. NCBI's taxonomy places the organism in Eukaryota, Metazoa, Chordata, Mammalia, Carnivora, Mustelidae. The transcript has 3 exons.
CUCACUUGAUGCUAUAGGCCCUAGGUUUAUCCCCUACCCCUUUCUUUUCCCUGAUCCCACACUCUCCCUAACAUACCACCAGCAUUUAUGGUUUCAACCAUGACUACCACUAGACCAGUCUGAAAGUGAAAUAUAAUGGUACUCUGCUUCAAAACGGUAUUUCAGGCUUCAAAACUCUCAGCCCAUCUAUAGAACAGCCAAAGGAGAAACUACAGCUCUGUUCUGAGGGACUCAUUUAACAGGUCCUUCACCAGCUGUUCUAACACCUUCCAGGGUCCUCACAAGUCUGGACUUUCUCUAGUUCAUCAGAAACCCUCACACAGACAUCCUUCUCCUAACUGAGCACAGGACUGCAGAUGUGAGCCAACAGCCAGUCAGCAGAAUCAUCAUUGCACCCCUCACUACGAACACUAACUACUUCCAAUCACGCACUAGCUUUUGGAGUAGCAGCCAGGACUACUCUGAGUAUGCCUAAAACUUGGGAGUUACCUACCAUCUUUUGGAAUUUAAUUUCUUUUAAUAUGUUUA